UAAGCUGCCACUGCAAGGAAUUUCUACUUUAUUUCUUCCAACGAGGAAAUGUUAAAAACGAUUCGUGAGGAAAUCAUUAAGAAUGGGUCAUCAAAAAACGUGCCCCGCCCCCCGGAUUCCGCGGAUGCAUCGGCUCCAGAAGUGGCCAAAAAGAGGCAAGAAGUGGCCAAAAAGAGGCCAGAAGUUUCGCCGGAGAGGAUCGCGGUAACUCCUCGGAGGUCGCCCAGUCCCCUUGGAGAAUUAAGUAAUGUAAUGAGUCCUUUGCCGAAUCUUCCGAGCCCCCCCCGUGCAGUGGAGGAUAAUUUAAUUAAUUUAUCGGCCACGCCUCCUCGCAAAAGAAGGAGGUUCCACCCCACAAUUUUUUGGAAGCCGGAAUCGCACAAGGACGGCAGUGGUCGAGAGUGGACCACAUUAAAAUAUCAAUGCGAAAUUUGUUUUAAAAUUUGCCAAAAACCGAAGGCAUAUGAGAACCACAUAAUGUUGUGCAAAAAUGAUUGCAAAACAGUGGCUUGCAAGUGGUGCCCCUAUGUCCAAAAGUCCUCCAAUUUGGGAAAUCACUGGAAGAGGUGCAUAGGGGGGAAAAAAUUGUAUAUCCCCAUUGGGGAACAAUUGAAGCAGCGGAAAAUGUGGUCCGAAAUGAAGGACACGUCGGGAUCGAAAUCGCAAGUGGAAAGUGUGGCCUGUAUACAUUUUAAUUUAUUUCUUUUAUCAACAGAUGAAGACUUUUGAAAAAAUAUUGCCCACGGAGAAGUUACUUCCUUUCGUGUUUUAUUUUACCUCUCGCUGAAAACCCGAUC
This 797-nucleotide small RNA is filed under the name Drosophila ananassae. Its description in RNAcentral is "GF27092". Lineage: Eukaryota; Metazoa; Arthropoda; Insecta; Diptera; Drosophilidae. The record is from RNAcentral.